Long non-coding RNA from Peromyscus californicus insignis, 835 nucleotides. RefSeq lists it as uncharacterized. The record is from RefSeq and is a predicted model, not a curated record. The transcript has 3 exons. NCBI's taxonomy places the organism in Eukaryota, Metazoa, Chordata, Mammalia, Rodentia, Cricetidae.
GGAGAAUAGAGCUGGGAAGUGGAAGGCUGAGUCAGAGAGACACUGCCAGCCGCCAUGAUGAGAAACAGCAUGUAAAGAUGCCGGAGAACCUGAGACCCAGGUCACCCACACCGUACUCACCAUCCUUCCUGAAUUUUCCCUGAUGCCUUCGUCGGAGAAGGAGGAAGAUGAGGAUGAAGAGGAACAGGAGGAAGGCCACAGAGACUCCGACCAGAGCCUUCAGUUCACCUGCCUCAGAUCACCUGACUGGAAGUAGCAGAGCUGGAAAGUGAACCUGGAGACUCUUACUUACAGCUCUUUUCUCUACACCUGAACUAGCCUUAUGAGUUGGAGGGAAGGAGCCUGAAUGUCCUGCCAUGGCUCUAUGCCCCACCCUUGCACAUGCCACCACCACUGUGGGACAGACCCACUGCAGAAUCAGGUUCUGGGGACUCCUUUGUCAGGAGAGGUCACAGCCAAGGCCAGCCCUGAAAGAAAUUUAGACAUGUGGGCCAGGCUUCUCCUCUUUUUACUCAGCCAAUCCAGAAAGGGAAAGGCUGGUCCCAGUCAGCAUCUCCAGAAGCAGCUGUGUGGAUCCCAUAACUAGCUAUUGCCCAUCUGGGCCCCACCUUCCAACAGAGUCCUUAUUAGCCUCUGGGACCUGACUCCAUGCAGGUGAGAGAGGUUUGUUUUCAGGGCCUUAGAGGCAGGAUGGGGAGGCAAAUGUCUGGGAUCCCUGCUCUCCACCUCACCCACCUGCCCCAUCCUCCAGACAGAGUCAGAACAUUCUGGAUGCCACCUUUCUGUAUCCAAACCCCUAAGUCCUGGGUCUCUGGGGUCUCUGCUGGGAUCUCUG